AGGGUUGUGGCUCAGUGGUAGAGCGCUUGCCUGGCACACGUGAGACACUGGGUUCGAUCCUCAGCACCACAU
Non-coding RNA from Ictidomys tridecemlineatus (thirteen-lined ground squirrel), 72 nucleotides. The record is from Rfam. NCBI's taxonomy places the organism in Eukaryota, Metazoa, Chordata, Mammalia, Rodentia, Sciuridae.